AAGCAGACUGUAUAAAGCACCUCCCAGACCUAACCCGAGUUGAAGUCUAAGCAGAGCCCAGCUCCCAACCAGGUGUGAGUUUGGUCAUCCCAAAACGAUGACAGCAGGAAAUCUCAUUGCUGUCUCUGUGACUCCACAGUCUCUGCAGCUGCUCUGUUCAGGGCCCAUUACCUGGCUUGUUGUGGGCGUGCUGGGUCUGGUGGUUAUUGGCAUGGUCACCUACUACGUGGUGAAAGAGUUGAACAAGAUGACCUAUAAAAUCUAUAAAACGGAGUGACAGGAAUCCCCGCCAGGCACCCAGUGGAGAGAAGGCUCCCACCCUCACUGGAAUGUUUCAGGGCAGCAUGCUACACGUGUUUUAAAAUUUGAAUGUGAGCAAAAUAAAUUUCUGGACAAAAAAAUACAAAUUAAUUAAACACAAUGAUUUGAGCA
Long non-coding RNA from Cynocephalus volans (Philippine flying lemur), 432 nucleotides. RefSeq lists it as uncharacterized. The record is from RefSeq and is a predicted model, not a curated record. NCBI's taxonomy places the organism in Eukaryota, Metazoa, Chordata, Mammalia, Dermoptera, Cynocephalidae. The transcript is spliced from 4 exons.